GGGGGUGGCGACGUUGCGGUCCUUGACCAGAGUGAAGUGUAGGUGCCGGUUGAAGCCCUUCUUCAGCUCCGCCACGUUCUCCACGCCCACGAUGCCGCGAAUGCUGAUCUGCCGUCGCUUCUCUUGUUCUUGGAGUUCCGGUUAAUAGAUGGAUCGAAAUAACUGAUACUUCCCUUGAUUCAUAAUUCUUUGAAAACCCUAUCUUGGGAUGAAAUUCAUAUCAGCAAAGCACCUUUGUGGACAGAUGUUGAGUCUGAAGUGUGUGUCACAGUAUUUAUAGGACAGCCGUUUUGCACGAGCCCUUUCUAUGACAUCAGACAGGCACGGAGCCGAACUUCACAAGAACACGGGACUGCCUAAUUUGGGGCAUUAAGCCUCCUAACCUGAACAAACUAACUUUUUAAAAUAUCAAGUGCAUUCCAUCAUUGGCAUCAGAACCUACUUCUUCAGGAUUCCGGUGCAGACCAAAGAGCAGUUGAGACAUCCAGCCUCAUGGACUGAAAAACUGCUGGCUGCUUGGACUCUCUGUUCACAGCCAGUCAUUGCUGCAUUCGCUGUACCACAGCCUGUAAGUCAUUUUAAUAAAUCCCCUUUCUGUACAUUUAUAGAGUCAUUCUAUAAGCUCUGUCCUUCUAGAGAACCCUAACUAAUACAGUAUGUUUGAGACAGAAGCAGGAAACACAGACAGACUGCCAUACAAAGAUCACUAAUCUGUGGGCAGCAAAACCAUGUCUUGCCAAAGGAACAUGUCUGCCUCAUAUCCAGAGGGACCCAUGAACUUCCCAGUGGGGUUAGUAUUCCCUUGCCUUGUAGAUGUAAUACUUUUUUGGCUCCGGUUCUGUCUGAUGAAAGGCUCAGGGGUGGGGAGGUAUGACUGGAGAAAGAUUUACUAGGAAAGCUCUCUCAGCAAGGAGGCUGUAAUAGAAGAGUUUGCUAGCUAAGAACAGUGUCAGUUCAAAACCCUAGAAUCUGUCAUAGCAGAAACAAGGCUUAGACAAUGGUUGAUGGUAUUAUUAGCACUAAAUCGCUAUAGUAAUAGUAACAGCUAGUGCUGCGGGCUCAUCAGGGAUGCAGCAGCAUGCUGGUUUCCAUAGACGAUCAAAGCACCACGUACAUGCUGCAGUGGUUUGAAAGAAGAUGGCCCCCGGAAGGGAGUGGCACCAUUAGGAGGUGUGGCUUUGUUGGAGUAGGUUUGGCCUUGGAGGAAGUGUGUCUCUAUGGGGAUGGGCUUUGAGGUCUCCUAUGCUCAAGUUACGCCCACUGACACAGUUGCUUCUGCUGCUUGCUGAUCAAGAUGUCUUAACUCCUUUUCCAUCACCACGUCUGCCCGAAUGACACCACAAAGAUAAUGGACCAAACUUCUGAAACUGUAAUCCAGCCCCAAUUAAAUGUUCCCUUAUAAGAGUUGCUGUGAUCAUGGUGUCUCUUCACAGCAAUAGAAACCCUAACUAAGACACAUGUUAUUGUCUUCGGCCUCUCACUGGCAGAUGCCGACCUAAAGGCUCAGAGACAAGAAAUAGGCUCUGUCACACAGUUAAACUGUCUUUUUGAAAGGGCAGGAUGAUUUGACAGACCCGCAUCCAUUUUUGACAAUACAAGACAAGAAAUCCCUGACGGAGUGGUCCACCUCCAGGAGAGAUGGGAAGACCAUGCUGUGACUGCCACAGCAGGUCUUCUGCGGGAGUCCCUGGCAUCGAUUAAUAGGCAAGUGUACACGUCAUCAAUUACAAAAUCAAAGAACAAGAUCACAAAAUGAUUUCCACUCGAAUCCUACAGAUGCCUGUAAUGUCUGAGGAGAAAUGAAAUCGUCAUUAGACAAAGGCAGCACCAGGUCAUGAACACCUGCAACCCUCCAGAAUUCCUCUGUGUGGCCAGAGCAAGGGAGAAAGGAAGCCGGCUCCCCACUCCCAGCCGGAACACCAACCCUAAGGGACACUUUACGAAUACUUGGGUGGUAAGGCUUGCAUGCAUUCGCUUAUGGGGUUUUUCACAGCCCCCUUCUUACCUCUGCUUCAUUGACAAAGAAACUGAAAGCCAGAGAGGCUUCAAAGCUAACAAGUAGUGGGACUGGACCUGGAGGUUGAGAACCACUGCUCUGGAGGAAGUGCUCGACAUUUCUAGGAAGUUGUCGCUGGUCCACUAGAAAAGACUAUCACACAUGUUCUGAAGACAGUCACUUCAGCCUCCAAACCUCUGCAUGUGGGCAGACUGCCUGUGCGCAUGUGUGUGUUCACCCGUCCCUGCCAGCCCUCUCCUGGGGCUCGUUUCCUGCCACACAAAGGAGAGUCUGUUCAGAUCACUCUGUCCUUGACUGUGUCCUUGGCACAUAACAAGGGCUGUUGCAUUCUAGGAGAGUUAAUGAAGAUUCAUUUGUCCUCAUGGGAGCAGAGGCACUUAAAGGAAUUAACAACCAUUUGGCUGGUGGAGUUUUAGGUCACAGUUUUGUCCUGGUAUUGGAUUUAACAUGCAGACAAUCGAUUUUAGCAACAUGCAUUAAAUGCUCUAUGUGCUCACAAUUCUAGGGUAGUGUUCUUCAGAGAAAGCAGAUGGCUGAUACCUGUUCUUACCCAUGCAGCAGAACCUUGGGAAGACUACAAAAGUACUCUGAAAACUCUACUCCCAUGUCCCAGGAGAGAGUAGACAAUGCCAACUGAGAAUUUGGAAAACUAUUCUAAAAUGAUCUCUAAUAAAAGAAGAAGACAAAACUCGGCAUGCCAUUUUUAUACAACUAAAGACAAGGAGCCCAAACAUUACUUCCAAUGGUUGAAAAGAAGGUGAGGUGGUUUUCUAUUUAAGGGACAACGAGAACCAUGCCAGAAGAAUUCAGCCAUCCGAACAAGGAAAGCCCAGUGUUCUCUAGAUGGAGUUCUCCUGCUUGGGGUGAUGGAGCCCUUUGCUAGUGAGGCAGUGAUCGCAGAAGAUGAAUUCUUGCUAAGCUGCAGCUGCCUGAGAAGAAACCUGUGGACACGCAUAGCUGGCCCAUCUUCCACAGCAACAAAAGGAAUGAACCAGGAAGAUUUGAAUUUUUUUGUGUGUAUGUGUCAAGAAACAAACAUAUUUUUCUUGCAUAAAAAUGUCACAAGUGUAAAUUCGUACUUUAAGUCACUUAAAAAUAUUUUGAGUUUUCACUGUGUCCAUGUAACAUUAUUAGAAAAAACAUAUCUAAUGACAUUGUUAUUUCAUAAUGGGCAGAUUGUGUUAAUAUUAUCCCAGAUGUUAUUUAAUUUGGAUCCUUUGUACUCGGACUUAGGAUGCAGCUUGAGGGAAUAUGUUUACUGCCAAGUUGUGAAAGGGCAGUUCAUUGGGUAGACUGAGAGUCCCUGCAGACAAUGAGACAAUGAGCGAGCUAACCAUACACUAGGAGCAUCUGUCCCUGUGCUAACAAAUAUCCCAAAGGCCAGUGGGGAGGGGUUCAUCUGCAGCCAGUCAGCUGAUAUUGCAUCACAAACUUUGGCUUUUCCUUUUCAUCACAAAUACUUGACAGGUAAAAAAUUAUUCAGACUGAACAGGUCCAGGCUCUCACUGAAUUGAUUAAACUUAAUGAACACAAAGCAGGACACAUAAAUUAACAAGGCAGAGAGAAAACAAUCCAAAGUGAAUUAAAUUAUGAUGAAGUGCUAAACAGAAAUUUCGCUAUUACACCAAAUGGUCUAUUCUGCUAAUGUCAUAAAGAGUUGUCCUGGGUGCCCUGUGUGUCAGGCAGUCGCUGCACUUAGGGGCGUUCCGCAUCCUAGCCUUCAGUGUAGUGGCAUUCUCUGCUGCUGUGUGUACAGACUUGAGCAGUGUGCACAGCUUUCUCCACACUCGCCUCUGUGUGCACUAAGGAACAAGUGACUGUUUUUGGAAAUGAGGUCAGCUAUGCCGAGCUCACAGACCUCAGUUCUAAUACCCACUGCAGGAGCUGCUCACUCCAGGUUCAUCCCGCCACCUGGCCUGGACUGCACAGGAGGUGGAUGGGUGGCCCAGCCUCAAAGGGCAGAGAGUGUGGGAGCAGACUGCUCUGCCAGCCGACCAGAGCAUUCCAAAGCCUCGAGGCUUCUACUUUCUAACUGCCCUUCCUUCUGCCCUAGUGCCAAGGCGAAUUGGCUUGGUGCCUUUCCCCCUUCUUCUACCAAAAGCCUUUACAGUGCUCUUUAAUGAUGUAUCUCUUCCUUCAUGAUACAUGAGACAUAACUUUUUAGUGGAUUUAUUUUGCUGACAGGAUUGGAGAUAGGCAGAGGCUGACUAGGGGGCAAUUAACCUGGGGCUCUCUAUAUUCUGCAAAAGAUAGUUUACUGACUUUGCCAUGUAGGUGUCAGAGAAGAUUUUUAAACAGCAACAAAAGAUUACUGCAACACACACACACACACACACACACACACACACACACACACACACACACUGAAUGUAUGAAAGGAAAUUAGCUAUUUCUCCAAGAAGCUACACUGUUUUAUAGGACAGAUUGGGAAUGACACCAGUGUGCUCUGAGGCUACUUCUCGGGGCGGGCCCUAACCCCAUCCCUUUCUGUAACUUAGGCUUCCGGUGCCCGGGUUAUAUCAGCUGACUUCUAGAGCUGUGAGAAUAAAUGGAAGUGGAAAAAAGUCA
Long non-coding RNA from Mesocricetus auratus (golden hamster), 4585 nucleotides. RefSeq lists it as uncharacterized. NCBI's taxonomy places the organism in Eukaryota, Metazoa, Chordata, Mammalia, Rodentia, Cricetidae. The transcript has 6 exons. The record is from RefSeq and is a predicted model, not a curated record.